This 465-nucleotide ribosomal RNA is filed under the name uncultured bacterium. Its description in RNAcentral is "partial 16S ribosomal RNA". It matches the Rfam family "Bacterial small subunit ribosomal RNA", at positions 338 to 795 of the family's 1533-position model. The record is from RNAcentral.
CCUACGGGAGGCAGCAGUGGGGAAUAUUGCGCAAUGGGCGAAAGCCUGACGCAGCGACGCCGCGUGAGGGAUGAAGUUCUUCGGAUCGUAAACCUCUGUCAGCAGGGAAGAACGGUCACUUUGCUAAUCAGCAGUGAAUUGCCGGUACCUGCAAAGGAAGCACCGGCUAACUCCGUGCCAGCAGCCGCGGUAAUUCGGAGGGUGCGAGCGUUAAUCGGAAUUACUGGGCGUAAAGCGCUCGUAGGCGGUAUGUCAAGUCAAGGGUGAAAUCCCCGCGCUCAACGUGGGAACUGCCUUUGAAACUGGGAAGCUGGAGUGUGUGAGCGGAUAGUGGAAUUCCAGGUGUAGGGGUGAAAUCCGUAGAUAUCUGGAGGAACAUCAGUGGCGAAGGCGACUAUCUGGAACAUAACUGACGCUGAGGAGCGAAAGCGUGGGUAGCAAACAGGAUUAGAUACCCCUGUAGUC